AGUGAACGCUGGCGGUAGGCCUAACACAUGCAAGUCGAACGGCAGCACAGUAAGAGCUUGCUCUUACGGGUGGCGAGUGGCGGACGGGUGAGGAAUACAUCGGAAUCUACUUUUUCGUGGGGGAUCACGUAGGGAAACUUACGCUAAUACCGCAUACGACCUACGGGUGAAAGCAGGGGAUCUUCGGACCUUGCGCGAUUGAAUGAGCCGAUGUCGGAUUAGCUAGUUGGCGGGGUAAAGGCCCACCAAGGCGACGAUACGUAGCUGGUCUGAGAGGAUGAUCGGCCACACUGGAACUGAGACACGGUCCAGACUCCUACGGGAGGCAGCAGUGGGGAAUAUUGGACAAUGGGCGCAAGCCUGAUCCAGCCAUACCGCGUGGGUGAAGAAGGCCUUCGGGUUGUAAAGCCCUUUUGUUGGGAAAGAAAAGCAGCAGGUUAAUACCCCGCUGUUCUGACGGUACCCAAAGAAUAAGCACCGGCUAACUUCGUG
This 492-nucleotide ribosomal RNA is filed under the name uncultured bacterium. RNAcentral describes it as "partial 16S ribosomal RNA". It matches the Rfam family "Bacterial small subunit ribosomal RNA", at positions 29 to 507 of the family's 1533-position model. The record is from RNAcentral.